UUUAAGAAGUGGAGCCGCAAGCGGGGCAGGCCGGCGUUCACGUGACCGGGCGCCGCCCGCUGGCUCGCGGAAGUCCUCCGCGUUAGGCGCCGGGACCCCCGGAUGCCCUGCGAGGCAGGCAGGCUCCGCUGGGCUGGCCCGCAGCCGGCCGCCGGGAUGGUGCAGCUGUACAACCUGCACCCGUUUGGGUCGCAGCAGGUGGUGCCCUGCAAGCUGGAGCCCGAGCGGUUCUGCGGCGGGGGGCGGGACGCGCUGUUCGUGGCGGCGGGCUGCAAGGUGGAGGCGUUCGCCGUGGCGGGCCAGGAGCUGUGCCAGCCGAGGUGCGCCUUCUCCACGCUGGGCCGGGUGCUGCACCUGGCCUACAGCGAGGCGGGAGACUAUUUGGUAGCAAUUGAAGAGAAAAACAAAGCUACGUUUCUGCGUGCUUACGUGAACUGGAGAAAUAAAAGGACUGAGAAUUCUCGAGUGUGUAUUCGAAUGGUUGGGCAUAAUGUGGAGACACCCUUCAGCGAAAACUUCAGAGACCAGAUGUCUAUUAUUGAAAUGCCACUUUCUGAGGCCCCCUUGUGCAUUUCCUGUUGCCCUGUGAAAGGAGAUCUUCUUGUUGGCUGCACAAAUAAGUUAGUCUUAUUUAAUUUGACGUAUCAGAUCAUCAACGAGGAAUUUUCAGUAUUGGACUUUGAACGUUCUUUAAUUAUACACAUAGAUAAUAUCACUCCUGUCGAAAUUUCUUUUUGUGUUGGUUAUGUUGGUGUCAUGUCAGAUUUAGAAGUCUUAAUCCUAAAACUGGAGUCAGACCCUAAAAAUGGAGAGAGAGUUAACCACCAUCCACGCAAUCCAAUGAAACAGACAGAAGAAGGUAUCAGUAAUGAAAUUUCACAGCUUGAGUCAGAUGAUUUUGUUAUCUGCCAAAAGCCCAUGGAACUUCUUGGUAAAAAAAGUGAACAGUCUGGAUUAUCUGUUACACUGGAAUCUACAGGAUUAGCUGAUGAAAAACUAAAGUAUUUCCAUAUCCAGCACCUACUGUAUAGACGUUUUACACCUGAUAUUUCAUCUUAUGACUUGUCUGAUGACAUCAGGCUACAUUCCCUCCAGCUGCUACCUAUUUACCAAACAGGUUCUUCUGAUGGAAAAAGUUUGUCUCAGGAAAAAGAGUUGCUGAGUCUCUUUUGUUUCUUCUCCUUACCUCAUGUGGGCUAUCUCUACAUGAUUGUCAAAUCCGUUGAAUUAAUGUCAGUCUACCACUAUCCGGAGAAGUCUCAGCAGGCGGUGCUCACCCCACAAUUUUUACACGUCAUUACAAGCAAUAACCUGCAGUGUUUCACGGUGCGGUGCAGUGCAGCGGCAGCUCGGGAGGAGGACCCGUACAUGGACACCACCCUGAAGGCUUGCCCACCUGUCAGUAUGGAUGUCUGUGCUUUAAGAAUACAGCUUUUCAUAGGCUUGAAAGCCAUCUGUCACUUUAAAAACCACAUUAUACUUUUGACUAAGGCAGACGCUGAGGCCAUUCCAGAGAGAAGAGAGUCACCCAGGAGGCUUCUGUCUAGAAAAAAUACCAGUGUUAAGAUCAAAAUACCUCCUAUAGCUGAGGCUGGGUGGAAUUUGUAUAUUGUGAAUACAGUCUCACCAGUGCAACUAUACAAAGAGAUGGUAGACUAUAGUAAUACCUACAAGACUGCCAGAACCCAGAGCUGCAUCCAUCUUCUCAGUGAGGCUCAUCUGCUGGUGAGAGCUGCCCUGAUGGAUGCCAGUCAGCUGGAACCCGGGGAGAAAGCAGAGCUGUUGGAAGCAUUUAAGGAAAGCUGUGGCCACCUUGGGGAGUGUUACAGCAGGCUUGACACCCAGCAUUCUCACCUCGCCUUGCCAUACUAUAAGAUGUCUGGUUUGUCUUUGGCCGAAGUUUUGGCCCGCGUGGACUGGACAGCAGAGGAUGCGUCACAGAAAUAUGAGAAGGGAUUAAUCUUUUAUAUUAAUCAUUCACUUUAUGAAAACCUGGAUGAAGAAUUAAGUGAAGAAUUAGCAGCAAAAGUGGUUCAGAUGUUUCAUGUGGCUGAGCCGAAGCAACUGCCCCAUAUUCUUUGUAGUCCUUCUAUGAAGAAUAUUAAUCCUUCAACUGCCAUGAGCUAUCUGAGGAAGCUGGAUGCUUCUGGGUUGUCAUCAAUCUUAUUGACAUUGUCUAAGGCAGCAAUGGCUCUGAAAAUGGGAGAUCUUGACAUGUACAGAAAUGAAAUGAAAAGCCAUCCAGAGAUGAAGUUGGUAUGUGGCUUCAUUCUGGAACCUCGACUUUUGGUUCGACAGAGGAAGGGACAGAUUGUUCCAACUGAGCUUGCAAUUCAUUUGAAGGAGACUCAGCCUGCAUUACUUGUGGCUUCAGUCCUGGGCUUGCAGAAGAACAGCAAAAUUGGAAUUGAAGAAGCAGAUUCGUUUUUUAAGGUGCUUUGUGGUAAGGAUGAAGAUAUGAUUCCUCAGCUCUUGGUAGACUUUUGGGAAGCUCAGCUAGUGGCAUGUCUCCCAGAUGUGGUACUUCAGGAACUCUUUUUUAAGCUCACAUCACAAUAUAUCUGGAGGUUAUCCAAGAGGCAGCUUCCUGACACCACACCGUUGCGAACAUCGGAAGAGCUGAUAAAUGCCUGUGGUCAUUAUGGCUUAAUCUAUCCAUGGGUUCACAUCUUAAUAUCAUCUGAUUUCUUAGCUUAUGAAAAUUACACAGAAGAUCUUUUAAAACUGCAGUCUCUUAUGUGUGGUCCUUCAUUUGACAUAGCUUCCAUUAUUCCGUUCUUGGAGCCACUCUCAGAAGACACUUUUGCUGGCCUCAGUGUCCAUGUUCUGUGUCGUACGCGCUUGAAAGAGUAUGAACAGUGCAUAGACAUACUGUUAGAGAGAUGCCCGGAGGCUGUCAUUCCGUAUGCUAAUCACGAACUGAAAGAAGAGAACCGGAUAGACUCUGUGGUGGAAAAAACUGCUGCCUGAACUUUGUCAGAGAAUAAAAUGUGGUGGAGAGAAAUAUCAACUUUACCUGUCAUCAUUAAAAGAAACAUUGUCAGUUGUUGCCGUGGAACUGGAACUAAAGGAUUUCUUGAAUGUUCUCCCAGAAGAUGGCACUGCAGCAUUUUUCUUGCCUUACCUUCUUUACUGCAGUCGAAAGAAAUCAUUGACUUGAAGGUAUCAUUUGAAAAACACCAUAAUGGCAUUAGAGACUGAAUUUCUGAAAGUUGAAUACCAGGUAAAAAUACAAGUAAAGGAUUUUUUGGUUUUUGUAUAUAUAUUUCAUAGAUAUGUAUAAAAUAUAUAAAUAAAUGCUUUUAGGCUGCUUACUUUACCAUAUAGUGGUAACUAUGACCUGAAUGCAUUUAAUUGUUCAGAAUGUAAAUAAAUCUUUAAGACAAGAAUGCCUUAAAGAAGCCAAGUAUUUUUAAAGGCAGGGGCUGACUUUUAUUCCAAGGAACAACAUCAAUUCACUGUUGUUGGAGACAAAUUUUGAUGUUAAUGUUUUGCCACAGUAAAAAAUUUUAAGCCUUUUGUUGUUGUUUUUCUUGUUACUUUAAGAAAACUCUAUGCUCUGUUUUUUACUUAAUUAAAAUGAAGUAGAAGUUUACAAAGCUGACUCUCUUCUUGUCUGGCUAUUAACAUGAUUUGUUUUGAAUCCAUGUUAUUUUCAACCAAAGCCUUAUUUCCAUAUUUUGUUGAUGUGUACUCUUGUUUUAGCUAAAGUGUAUGUGAAAAUAAAUAUUG
Molecule: non-coding RNA, 3732 nt
Organism: Microcebus murinus (gray mouse lemur)
Lineage: Eukaryota; Metazoa; Chordata; Mammalia; Primates; Cheirogaleidae
Source: RefSeq, a predicted model, not a curated record